This 460-nucleotide ribosomal RNA is filed under the name uncultured bacterium. RNAcentral's name for it is "partial 16S ribosomal RNA". It matches the Rfam family "Bacterial small subunit ribosomal RNA", at positions 338 to 795 of the family's 1533-position model. The record is from RNAcentral.
CCUACGGGGGGCAGCAGUGAGGAAUAUUGGUCAAUGGACGAGAGUCUGAACCAGCCAAGUAGCGUGAAGGAUGACUGCCCUAUGGGUUGUAAACUUCUUUUAUAUGGGAAUAAAAUGUUCCACGUGUGGGAUUUUGUAUGUACCAUAUGAAUAAGGAUCGGCUAACUCCGUGCCAGCAGCCGCGGUAAUACGGAGGAUCCGAGCGUUAUCCGGAUUUAUUGGGUUUAAAGGGAGCGUAGAUGGAUUGUUAAGUCAGUUGUGAAAGUUUGCGGCUCAACCGUAAAAUUGCAGUUGAAACUGGCAGUCUUGAGUACAGUAGAGGUGGGCGGAAUUCGUGGUGUAGCGGUGAAAUGCUUAGAUAUCACGAAGAACUCCGAUUGCGAAGGCAGUUCACUGGACUGCAACUGACACUGAGGCUCGAAAGUGUGGGUAUCAAACAGGAUUAGAUACCCGAGUAGUC